Molecule: ribosomal RNA, 116 nt
Filed under: Pteropus alecto (black flying fox)
Lineage: Eukaryota; Metazoa; Chordata; Mammalia; Chiroptera; Pteropodidae
Also listed under: 1 other name
Source: RNAcentral
AUCUACGGCCAUGCCACCCUGAACAAGCCCGAUGUCUGAUCUCGGAAGCUAAGCAGGGUCGGGCCUGGUUAGUACUUGGAUGGGAGACCACCUAGGAAGACCAGGUGCUGUAGGCA